This 230-nucleotide ribosomal RNA is filed under the name uncultured bacterium. RNAcentral describes it as "partial 16S ribosomal RNA". It matches the Rfam family "Bacterial small subunit ribosomal RNA", at positions 104 to 334 of the family's 1533-position model. The record is from RNAcentral.
CGGGGUGGAGUAAUGUCUGGGAGACUGCCUGAUGGAGGGGGGUAACUACUGGAAACGGUAGCUAAUACCGCAUAACGUCGCAAGACCAAAGAGGGGGACCUUCGGGCCUCUUGCCAUCGGAUGUGCCCAGAUGGGAUUAGCUAGUAGGUGGGGUAACGGCUCACCUAGGCGACGAUCCCUAGCUGGUCUGAGAGGAUGACCAGCCACACUGGAACUGAGACACGGUCCAG